GCCAUCAAUCGUGAAGAAGAGGUUCCAGUAGUACAUUCCAGAGGAAGCACGAAGAACAAUCAUGAAUUUAUUCCAUAUAUUGCUCAACGUAAUUGUUGGUGUGGUGCUUUGCAACGUGACUGCAUUCCCUAUGGAUGUCAUGUUCGAGCUGUUUUCUAUCUUCCUCUUCAUGGCAGCAAUCUUGUAGGGUCGACUGAUGGUUGUCUCGAAUCUACACGAAUCAUCAACUCUCCCUCACCUUAUUUUCUCUCAUGGCCUCCCAGGAUGCAGAUUGUUGCAGACCAGGCGACCGCGCCCAGCCGUACCGGCUCCUCCCGCG
Molecule: unclassified non-coding RNA, 319 nt
Filed under: Zea mays
Lineage: Eukaryota; Viridiplantae; Streptophyta; Magnoliopsida; Poales; Poaceae
Description: misc RNA Zm00001eb339020
Source: RNAcentral